This 568-nucleotide ribosomal RNA is filed under the name uncultured bacterium. Its description in RNAcentral is "bacterial SSU rRNA". It matches the Rfam family "Bacterial small subunit ribosomal RNA", at positions 337 to 919 of the family's 1533-position model. The record is from RNAcentral.
UCCUACGGGAGGCAGCAGUGGGGAAUUUUCCGCAAUGGGCGAAAGCCUGACGGAGCAACGCCGCGUGAGGGAUGAAGGCCUCUGGGCUGUAAACCUCUUUUAUCAAGGAAGAAGAUCUGACGGUACUUGAUGAAUAAGCCACGGCUAAUUCCGUGCCAGCAGCCGCGGUAAUACGGGAGUGGCAAGCGUUAUCCGGAAUUAUUGGGCGUAAAGCGUCCGCAGGCGGUCCAGAAAGUCUGCUGUUAAAAAGUGGAGCUUAACUCCAUCAUGGCAGUGGAAACUUCUGGACUAGAGUGUGGUAGGGGCAGAGGGAAUUCCCGGUGUAGCGGUGAAAUGCGUAGAUAUCGGGAAGAACACCAGUGGCGAAGGCGCUCUGCUGGGCCAUAACUGACGCUCAUGGACGAAAGCCAGGGGAGCGAAAGGGAUUAGAUACCCCUGUAGUCCUGGCCGUAAACGAUGAACACUAGGUGUCGGGGGAAUCGACCCCUCCGGUGUCGUAGCCAACGCGUUAAGUGUUCCGCCUGGGGAGUACGCACGCAAGUGUGAAACUCAAAGGAAUUGACGGGGA